UUUUAAUUGCCAGAGCAAAGAGAUCUCUCUAUAGACUGGUUUCUGGCUCCUAGAGAGGACUUAUUUUGCAGUUAUAUGAAGACAUUUCUCUUCAGCCAUAUGACAUCAUGGGAAAAAUCUGGUCAGAGGAACCACGUUUGAGAAGAUCUUGCCCAAGUCCCUUGAAGAUGAUCAGAGCCUAAUUUUCCAAUCUGUAAAUUGGGGAUCAAAACCACCUUCCUCACAAGGUACUGUAAGAAUUAACUGGAGAGAUGGGAAAGUCGUAUGUAAACCCUAAUGGAUUAUAGAACUGUUCUCUUUCAUUCGAUAGAACACUGUAAUUUCAGAAAUUCUUUCUUUGGAUGCUUCCCCCUUCCCAAACACCUGGGGCUCAACCUUCUUACCCCUUGCUCCGUGGAGCAGUGAUGAUAAGUAGAAUCCUCACUCCCCUCCCAAUACAAUUGGCUGGCGUGGCCUGCCCUGAGGCUAAAGGCUUCUUCAGUAUUUUGACUUUUUCCAAGGGCUCUCAAAGAGGAUACACUUUAUGGUCAUUAGAAAGGAAUAUUUCACCUUAGAUAGCAGUUCAAACUUCCCACUUUGAACCCCUAAGUGAAUCUAUACAACUUAGAUUUAUUAACAAACCUUUUGUUAUUGUUGAGAAUUUUAAAAAGAAAUUCAUUUUUCUUAAGUCAUUAUUUGGAUUUGCUCAGUAUUUGUUUAUUGGACUUAUGUGGGAGUGGUAACCAGAGCAAUGUAAGAGGAAAAGUACUAGAAUAGAAUUCAUAAAGAUGAGGAUCUUCAGCCUGGCUCUUUCUCUUUCCAUCUGUGUAAUUUUGAGCAAAUGUCUUGACCUCUCUG
RNAcentral lists this long non-coding RNA (837 nucleotides) under Equus caballus (horse). Its description in RNAcentral is "lncRNA (ENSECAG00000058839.1)". Lineage: Eukaryota; Metazoa; Chordata; Mammalia; Perissodactyla; Equidae. The record is from RNAcentral.